AGGCGUUACGGGAUGGCCUCCGCGCCCUGCCCGCCCCGGGCUGUGCGUUGGGUCUGUGGUGAACGCCUGCACCCUGCUGACCCGGCCUCGGUGGGGACUUGUUUAGUUGCGUUUAAUUGUUCUGAAAUUCCGGGAGCUCUCUUUGGCCUCCUGCUCCAGGGACUGUGAGGAAAACCGCGGAUGAACCCAAUAAGUCACGAGUCAGAAGGAAAAUGAGUGUGAAAGCAGCUUUCGGCCAGCUGUGCCUCUCCGCUCUGGCUUGGUGCGGCCGGCCCCGAGCUUCCUGAACCACGGACCUGUCUGCCACAGGAUCCCAGCCCCUCUGGGGUCUGCAGCUAACUUCAGCUUCCAGUAACAGCCCCUCUCGGACAGUUAUGUAAAGCCCCCGUCUGCAUUGUUCCAGCGCUGUUUCCUUUUUCCUCUGAGGCAACCUGCGGUAGGAAGCUGGUGGUCCCUCAGGUAGCCCGCUUCCACUCCAAGUCUCCCUCGCUCCGUGUGAGGCCCGCAGCAACCUGCAGCCGCUGCGCACGGGUCCCUCGCUUCCUGCCUUUGUGGAGCCGGCCAAAGACAACACCGCUGGCUUGGGCCAGCACAGCCCAGCAGCGGGCCCGUCCGUGCUCUGAUUCACUUAUUCCACUCGCAGGUCAAAAGAUUGGCAUCGAUGAGACUAUAAAAUGGACGUGCUUGCUUGGGACAUCCUUCUCUGCCCUUUGAAGUGCACAGAAGUGUUCCCGCAGAUUUUGGUGGGAAUAGCUGCCUCCUUUGUCUGCUGUGCUAGUCGGUGUGUGCCAAUUAGCGUUUCCUACUGAUUGGGAGAGGAAAGGACAAGGGACUGGAGACUGAUUUAUGAAAAUUGUGGAUGUUCAUAGACCAGGACAUUUUACACAGUACGUGCAGUUUGCAGAUUAGUAACUUGACUGACCCUUCUAGCAUCUCAACUGGCUAGAAAUGAGUGGAAAAGAAGGCCAGUUACAAAUGAAGGUCUUGCACUGUAAAACCAACAGUUACUCCUGUGGUAACAAAUAUGGCCUGCGGAGCAGCGGAAGAUAAACUGAAAGCCAGAUGUUGGAAUUAAAUUGCGAGAUGGUUAUUUUGACAGAGUUGAUGACCACCUGGAGUCCAGCAUUAUGUGAGGAUUGGCAUUGGUAACAACCAGAACCCCCCUCGGUCACGUAGGGAAUCACUUUCCCAUUACAGUUUUCCUGCCAGCGAGGUUUGUUUGCUUGGUGACAAGAGAUAAUGGCCAACUCGGUUUGUUACUUGAGUGUUUUAGUGACUGAGGAGUGGAAUCUGGCUUCAUGCUAAAUCCAUUUUCUUAGCUAGUCAAAUGCCAGCUUGGCAGCCUGUCUAUAAGCUGAUAGCACUGAGAGAGGAGUGGCUGUGGGGAUUGCUUUCAGCAGUCUCUGGUAAGUCUGCUUUUAAGACACCUUUUUUCCAUUGGGGAAAAAACACAGUUGCCAUCUGCAGGACUGGAAGGACUGGAUGAGAGAGAGUAGAGAGGCAUGGGCAUUGUCUGAAGCUUGGUGUCACACUUUUCAAGGUGCCUUACAAGCAGUGAUGGGCUUAGCUUUGAGUCAGGCCAGCGUUCAUUCACUAGAGUAGUGACAACCACAGUCGGCAGCAGGGGAAAGCACGGCACAUAGGACCUAGUUCUGCUUUUGUUGGAAGAACAACAACACAAGACGUGAGUUUUUCAGUUACAUGGGGGGGCCCAGUCUUAUUCUGCAAAGGGAAGCAUAGUUAUAGGUGGCACCCAGGUGCCUGGGGAACUCGGAGCAGGGCUGUGUGGUGAUACCCAGGUCUCAAGUUGUGCCCUCGCUGCGUGCGGCUUUUUAAAGUGCUGAGACUCGGCCUUCAGAUCAUAAAAUCGUAGAAUCAUUAAGGUUGGUUGGAAAAGACCUUCUUUGCCAGUGUGAGAGCACUCCCCCAGACAAGGACAACGCACUAGGUUCCAUCCUCGUUUUACUGAUGUCGCAAACAAGUUAUUCUUGUAUGCUGCAGAAAGCCUCACAACCACAAAACCAGCAAUAAUUUUAUAAAUGAUAAGCUUGUUUUCCUCCUCCUCCUCCCAGAUAUUCUGAGUACAGCAGGCAGCAGAGAUGUGCAUUGCUGGAAUCCGGAGAGUUUCAUAACGUGGCAGACGCUUGCUGAAAGCCCUGCAGAUACAAAACAACAUUUAUUUUAAGUCUUGAGAAACAUCUUCUCUUACCAAGUAGAAGAAAAGAACCCAAAACAUUUAGGUGAAGCAAUAUGGCCGGUUCCAUUUGUUUACAAGGCUUGUUUUUUGUCUUUAUACAUUUUAAAUGAUUUUUAUUUGUAUUCUGUUUUUUGAGCCUUUUCCUUUUUUUUUUUUUUCAUACAACAAGAAAGUCUGGAAUUGAGUCCUUUAAAAACAAAACUCUGGUUGAGAGUCCCAUAUAGCCAUGUAACUCCGGACACGGCGGGUUUAAAAAUAUCACUGCUUUCAUGAGAAUUGCCCAUCUUUCAGUGCUAAGUUUAAGUAAGUGCUAUGUUGACAGUUUAAGAUGCUUUUAACAACACCUGUCUGUGUUUGCUUUCCAGGCAGCUCUCUCUCUUCUUUUCUAAACAUUUAGAGCUUGUCUCACCUCUGCAUGUGCCGAUGGGGUCAGAAAUGCAGUGCAUCAGCCUGGCUAACGUGUGUCAAAUAAUUCAUACAAGUGCUUGCAAAAAGUACAGGUGCGUAGAUUUCAUGCCGUUGUCCCCCAGAGCUGCUGAGUGGUACCGGAGGGUACAGAGCCCACCGUCCAGGAAGCACGAGGAGGGUGGUGCUGCUGUCCUGGGAGCAGAAAGCCUCGGUGACUCCCCGGGGGAACCACAAAUGCCUUCAGAGCAUGAUGUUUAACCCAGUCCUUGUUUUUGGAAGGCAGUUGACAGACGAGCAAUUUCUUUUAGUUCGGUUUGCUGAAUGUAACGAUUUAAAAUCUGUUGUGUGACGCGGUGCUGUUCCCGAGUUCCUCAAGAAGGAGACGUCCUUGCUCAGCGUGCAGGUUUGUCUUCCACUGCUGUGUACAUACAAGUGCCUGGAAAUGCCUUAUCCAAGGGACACAGAAACAGCUUUCUGGUCGGCUGCUCUUUCUGUUCUCUCUCUAGCCAUAACGCCCGGUAAAAGCGGAGCCCCUUGCCUGUCUUACUGCUCCGUAAAAGCCCCGCUCUGGGCUGCCAGGCCCAGGCUGGCAUUUCCAGGAGGUUACCGCUCUACUUGUGUGGUUUGAAUCGCUUAAGUCUUUGGCCUGGUGCCUUCGAGUGCCAGCAGAGGCAUGCUGUAAUUGCCCGUAAAUGCACCGUCUGUCAUAUUAUUGUUUAAUUAUUCCAGCUUCUCACUGCCACACACUGCUUAGUGUCUCUCUUGCUAUCUUUAUUUAAUUGAGUGGAAAAAAUCCGAGACUUGCGCUUCGCUUACGUCACUUUGUAUUUACCCAGCAUCACUGGAUCCUACUUUGAAGUCCCAGCUUUUGUACGCAUAAGCCAGCCUUCUAUGCAGAAAAAAGUAAUGUAAAUGUCUAAAACAUAUGUUAGAAACAGAAUCAAUAUUUUAACACAUGGUAAACUCGGGCCAUAAAUCUCUUAACACAGUCAGAUGAUUGUAUUAUUCUCCUUUCAAACUCUGCUCUGCCCCUUGAGAAACAAGAAGGGGAAAGAAAACCCGCGAAUAACCAAGCCCUUGUCCUCACAAUGCAGGAUUGUUCUUAGCCUGUCACUUUGUCUGUGCCACCUCUUCCUUUUCUGGCUACUAGCUCUCUCUUUUCUUCUAUGCCAAACACCUUCAUCUCCAAGAGCCUUCUUUCCCUAGCCCAUCCCGACUGAUGUGUUUUAGCUUAUUACCGGGAUAUCAGCUCUGUCCUGGGAUCAGCCUGUGUUGACCAGUCCCACUGCCCACUUCUUACAGUUUUAAACACCUCUCUGUUUCCUCCAAGCCUGCAACAAAGCCGUUAUUAAUGUGUGUUGAAAUAAAGAAAUCAUCUUGCAGAGAUCUCUCCAACACUCUCCUUGUCCGUAUGGUCUAUAAAAAAACUUGGCAGCAUGUUGAUUGCUUUCCUUUCCUCAUGCUCCCCGUGUCUGCGGCAAAUAAACGCACGUCAUUUUUCUGGUCUUAUUCUCAGUCUUCCGUCUCUGAACCAGAGCAACCUUUUUGUACAGCACCUAGCACACACGAUCGGGAUCAAGCAGCUCUGUGCUCCUACACUAACGGUGUACUCUGUAUAAUGCCUAGCUGCCUGACGGAGCCAGCAUCGUUUCUGGGGCUGUGCUUUUGGCUUCCCAUAACCGAAAUCCAUCCCUGGCUCCAGAAGAACACUCAGUCCCUGCUGACAGUCUGGAAGAGGGAGAGAAAAUAGAUAGCAGAGCUGAAGCUAUUAAGACCAACAGGCACAUAUUUUAUUCCAACUCAAUUUUCCCUUCCCAAAUACCUUUUAAAGAAAAUCUUUCUCUUUGAGAGAACGUGAAUUAAGGUUGGUUUUGUUUGUUUUUUUGAGGGGAGAAGAGGUUGUUGUAGAUUUUUGUUUUGUUUUGUUUUUCUGGGUACUCUCCCGUUCUUGCUGAUCUUCAUCUUCUUCCACAUUUCAGACAGCAGAGCUUUCAGCCCUGACACGAUGUAAUCCCAAGUAAAACUGCUGCUGCCUCUGGCCUUGGUUAACCUGCUGGCAGUGAUACUUGCCUGGGCAUGGGGCAGCUGGCUUUUUACACAGCUCAGCAUGGAUAUGCUGCCACUCCCAGUCACUUUUAGGACACAGCCGAGUUGUUUUUCUUAAGAUUGCUUCUUAAGAAAAACAUGUAAUAAAAUGUUCGACCUUCCCAGGGCCACCACUCCCUGAGACCUUUCCCCUUUCUUGGCUUCUGCGAGAGCUUCUUUCCCUCGGCUUCACACCUUUAUCGGCUGAAAAUGAUAAGAGUCCAGAACUGCUUGGCUCCAGGCUCUCGCUUUGAAGGACAGGCUGCGCUGCCGCACCAUUGUGCCUGUGGGGGACUGGAGGAUCACCGAGGACAAUGGGGAAGUGAAGUCUGCUCCCUCUUUUGUGUGGAGCAGAGGCAGGACUUGGCCUUUUAUGAAGUUCGGCAGAGGAAAACUCGGGCUUUCGCACUCGCAUUCCUGCAUUCCGUGCCCUACCCGUCAGCCUGGUGCUAAUCUUCACGGACCUUUGAAGGCAAGAAACGACACGCAGUGCAAACGAAAGCUCAGCCAGGGUAUUGGUGCCAGCCAGUUUUAGAAGUCAGACGCGGGAGCCAAGUGAAACAGGUACAGUGGCAGGAGAUGCCAUGUACCACCUGCAGGCACGCAGACCUACGGUGCUCGCGCAGCAUCGGAGCCCAACAGCAAAGCGCGGCAUGCGAGGAGCUGGGGAACCCACAGCCACAUCAGGCUCGAAUGCACUUUCCCGGGGAGGAAGUGGCUUUUCCCUUGGAAAGCUCAACUCCCCAGGGUCCCUAUGAGGUCAAUGGAAAAAGUGAUUUCUUCAGAAUGAUUCAGAGUGCCUGAACAGAGGCUUAUCGUUUUGACUAUGGAUGGAGCUUAACCUCUGUAGUUUUAAAUUGGAUUUGUGAGUACCCAUCCCCUCCUGCCCCCUAGUUUUGGGACUUAUGCUGGGGGUUAGUGGUAGGCAGAGUGCCUACCACAGUUCAGGUGCUGCAGACCCACAGCCUUGUCCACUACAGCACAGCGUGCCCUAUUGGAUCCUGCUUUGUCCUUUUGGCUUCUGGUGGGAUGUCAGAAAUGGAUCUGCAAGUAGCAGAAGAAUCAAAUGAAGUCAAGAAAUGUCGGUUUCUUUAUGGAUAGCCUGACUGGAGCUGGAAUAAUCAGCAUCUGUUUCAGUUUAAGCGAGUUUUCAUUCCAGCCUCUCUCCUUUUUCAAAGUACAGACAACCGAAGCCUUUAAUUUGCCGUGUCUUUCACUAGAGAAAAGUAGGAGUUUCUAACAGCCGAUACUAUCCUUUCUAGAAAUCUACACUACAGAAAUACAGUUUAUUGUCUGUUGUGAAUGAAAAAGCUCGUGCUUGUUUCUCUUGUUUGUAGUGUUGACUUUGAAAGAUAAAUUGUUUGAACUGGU
Molecule: long non-coding RNA, 6061 nt
Organism: Cygnus atratus (black swan)
Lineage: Eukaryota; Metazoa; Chordata; Aves; Anseriformes; Anatidae
Exons: 4
Source: RefSeq, a predicted model, not a curated record